Molecule: non-coding RNA, 494 nt
Organism: Schizosaccharomyces pombe (fission yeast)
Lineage: Eukaryota; Fungi; Ascomycota; Schizosaccharomycetes; Schizosaccharomycetales; Schizosaccharomycetaceae
Source: the annotation of a GenBank genome assembly
AAUCCAUGAGAAAGGAUUUUAACUAUUUUACGCACCUAUAUAAAGUACUCAUAACGAUGGGUUGAAUUGCGCAUCGUGUCAAUGAAAGAAGGUUGCAUAGGAUAGUGAGACAUUAGUACAAAGAAUUCGAUUCCUAAAGCUAUGCUAGAAAUUUUAUUAAAUUAAAUAAUUUCCAACCUUGCGAAGGGCUAUAUUAUAGUAUGUUUGUACUUUUUUAGCAUAUUCGGCAACGUCAAAAACACUUCACAAAUUGAAUGAAACCGAUAUCGUCGAAUACUACGAAGCGCUUUUGAGAAACGUUUAAGCUACACUCUUGAUUUUGCAUCUAAUACCUAUUAUUAAGUACUGUUCUCUGUAAACAUACAAAUCUGUUUCCUUUUUAGAAAAGCACAAAUUUCCUGUCUGUAAAUGCGAUAAGUCUUUGAAGACCAUUGUGAAAAGAUUCAAAACAAUGGCCGAAUGACUCUUUAAAAUACAUUCCUUUCUUCAACUAA